This 4201-nucleotide unclassified non-coding RNA is filed under the name Hevea brasiliensis (rubber tree). Lineage: Eukaryota; Viridiplantae; Streptophyta; Magnoliopsida; Malpighiales; Euphorbiaceae. The record is from RNAcentral.
GUUUUUCCUUUUUAUUGAAUAGAAAUUAUUUACUUCUACCCAUUAUUUUUUUUUUUCAAGAGAUAAAAUAUUCAUCUCGUAGAGGAAAAAUUACAUAAUUUGAGUUUUAAGCACAAAACAUCGUAGUGCAGCCUAAAAAAUAAAAAAUAAAAACCCUAGCUUUAUCUUAUUGUCUUAGUCCAUAAGAAAAAGACCCAAAUUUCCAAGCCUAAACUAAACCCAGACUACGUGCUGGAUCCUUCACCCGAAUCAUCAACCCGGAAUCACACAAGCAGCUACUACCAAAUCGCCGACCAAAACAGACCAUUCAAUUUGGCCAUAUAGAAAGAUAACAGCCAUUCUACAAAGCUAAACCCAGAGAGUUGCACCAAGAAUCUACCGACACUAGGGACAUAGGGAACAAGAGAGAUCAAAGCCAUGGGAGCCUAACAAAACCAGAGAUCGUGGUUCUAGCGAAGCAGCAAUCGCACGUCCAUUCACAAUGGGCGACGAAGACUUAGAUCAUCCAGUGUCUCACUCGCACCAUACCUCAUAUGAAACCAACGAUUGAAGUUCAGAUUUCUCAUGCCUUUAGCUGGAUGAGACACAAGCAGAGAAAUGGCAGUCUUCAAAGAUCGGCCCUCCACCUGCAAGGUCAUAAAACCUUCCCGACAGUGAGGAAGGGAUAAUCUAGGCAAGGAGGAAGAAGGUCAUCCCCUACUCGGGAAGGGCAGAGUCCCGAUAGAAACAAAAACUCUAGGUCUCAGAAGACAAAGAACCCAAGAGAGAAAAGAGAAAACAUUAAAUCUAGUUGAGAAUUGAGAUAAGCUACUCAGAUGGGGUUUUGUGAAAUCCCUUUAUUUAAAUGAUAAAGGGAUUUUGUUUGUUUUAAGACACCAUUCGAUUUCCCACAAUAUUAAAUAAGGAAAUUCUACAAACCCAUAAAAUUAAAAAUCCAUAAAAGUUUUAUAGUUUCUAAGGCCUCAAACCCAAACAUUGCGAGAGUUACUUAUUCUUCGUUCAUUGUUCAACUAAAGUGACUGGUCACAAGAAUUUUCAAAAAUAAAGUAAGCCUUCAUAAUUUAUAAUAACAUCAAAGUUCAGAAUUGGUAACAACCAUGCAUAGCAUAUGGACACUAGCUUCUCUCAAAAAUUAAUCAACAUUAUCUUCUUAACUACCAAUUCAAGUUCUGAUAGUUGCAAAUGGCAAGGAUGACGUAUCAAAAUAAACAAUACACAACAACAACAGCUUCUUCUGACAAAUGCUAAAUCCCAUUAAUGAUCAAACAAAGCACAAAUUCAUCUGAGAUACAUUCACUGAAAUUUGUUUAGACCUGCCUAGGCAAGGAAAUCAACUCAAAACCAGUUUAGAUGCUCUGCAAAUUUCAAUUGUAUGAUGAACUCCUAAACUUAGAAAAAGGGCUAUACCCUACCGAAUCUAUCCAAUAAUUACAAUACCACAUGAUAAAUUGGGGAAGAACCUCUCAUAAUCUACAAGUAUCAAAAACCAUAUGUGGCAAUAUAAUAUAAAUAUAAACAAAUAAAGAAUGCUGAUUCUAAUUGAAAGAACAAUACGUGUGAAACUCACUUGGACACCUGGUUAACGGGGGAUUCCAAGUUUGCUUGCAACUCCUGGCACUGUCAGCUUCACAAAGCCGCCAUGUUUGUGCUCCAUCCCCAAAACAAGAAUCCCCAAAUAACAAUCCAGCCACUUUAUUUACUAUCUUGCACACACAGCAUUAAGCAGCACAUGAGCCAACAUAAGGUCUACAAAAUACUGGUGUCCGAUUUCACCAUCUCUCCACUUCAUCUUCGCUGGAGCUCUGCCAUAAUGCACCCCAUCGUUGCAACGAUUGUCAAAAUGCCAAGGAAAAGUCAUAUCAAAAUUAUCAAUCACCCCAGAAAGCAGUUGGGCUCGCCUAAAUUUAUCCAACACCACCCAGUUAAAUGCCUCCAUCUUGUUGGGAUUAAAUGCUAGUGCCCUAGCAUACCCACCAGUUGCUAUGGUGGUACGAUAAAAGAUUUGAGGAACUAUUAAUCCUCUUUGCUUCACAGAAUCAGUAACUUCUUUCCAAAAUGAAACUGCAUAAUCAACUCCAGCUGAAAAUUGUCUGAUAUUAGACCAAAAUACGCCAUCAUGUAAACCAGAAUUCAUGAUUAUAGUGUCUGGCACAGUGUCUUCCGAGAAGUACUUCUUCAACAAAUUUCUAAAUCCUUCAUCCUUCAAAGAAUUGAAUCCUUGGUAAUUCUGUGUCUCAUUCCAAUGACCAUUGAAAAUGCUGGUAAUUCGAACUGAUUGAGAUGCAUCUUUUGGGUUUGAAAAAUUCAUAUCAAACCGUCUAGGAACAGAUUUUAUUUCAGACAAAUCCAAGACAAAAUUGAGCAUGUUUCUUAUAGUAUCAACAUGAUUGGAAUCGCCCCAAAAGAAAAUCCACCUAUCCUUCAGGCAAUUCCAAGCAGAAUCAGCUGAAAACAGCCUGAAGGAACACUGACUAGAAUAAACCCAACCAUUACUCUCUAACAAGCCUAAGGAACCAUCACACCAUGGACUUUGGCAUGGAAAAUAUGGUUGCAGGCACCGAUACCGCCCAUCAUUACUGAUUUCACAAUCAUCAUUCUUUCCAUGCCUUGUCCACCUCCCUACCCAAAGAUCUCUAGUGAAAUCAGAUUUUUCACAAACUUGUAAUUGUGGCAACUGAUAAUGAGCUUUCACAAACCUGAUUUGAACCUUACGCAAUUCUUUAUCAUAGACAAAUCUUGAUGGCGAAAAUUUUAGACCCUCAAAAUGCCUGAAAAGCAAAAUAACAGUAAGAUUAUAGUCACCAGCAAAAUCAGGAUGAACUUGAAGCGAAAUCGAGUAGGACCCAUUUCCAAAAUCUUUGAUUAAAGGCCGAGACUUCCAUGCCUCCCCCGAAAGAUCAGCCUCAAAGUAAUCCCCACCUAAACAGCGAGGAUUCUUGGACUCAUCCACUGCUUGGAAAAUAAAUUCAUGACUAUUCCCAGCGGUGAGCUCAAUCGAAUCGUGGCCGUCCAAUCCAGGAAUCACAAUGUCCACCGCACGAGAGUCCCUGCAAGGCUCACCUCCAGGAGCAAGCCACUUAGAAAGAAGAUUUGAAGUCAAACGUGGAUCUAAUUCGGUUGAUACCCACUUUACAAUCGCUUCUGAUUCGUACUCCUUCAGCUUCUCCAGAAACCCAUCCGAAGAAUUCUGAGCAGAAACGUUAUUAUCAUCUGAAGUGAAUUUUGGGUUCAAAUCAGUUGAUACCCACUUUCCUUUAGCUUCUUCUGAUUCUUUCUCAGUUGGCUUAUCCAGAAACGCAUCUGAAUAAUUCUGAGCAGAGACAUUGUUAUCAUCGUUGUUCAGAAUACUGUAAUUGGGAGGACUGCUCCUGCUAGUGGUACUGUUCUGGGUAUUGUUGUGCUGAGGCAACGGGAAAUAGGUGGUGUUAAAGUUGUUAGUGAAAUUUUGAUGGAUUUCUUGGGCUAGAUUUGUGGUUUUUGUGGGCUGUGCGUUAAAUCUCCUGCUUAGAAACUCUUGCCUGAACCUCCAAGAUUCAAUAAAAUUCUUUAUACUGCACCCAUCUAUGCUCCAAACACCAACCAUGCCAACAAAAACCAGAGCUGUUAGUAUAUGAAACCGCCAUUGAACCAACGGACUUGACCGCAAGAGCCAUGAUGGGUUUGUGGAUGGUGGUGAGCUUACCCCUUUCUCAGCCAUACCUAAUGGGCAUAAGCCCUUGUGAAUUCAAAGUAUCUCUGCUGAUCAAGGAAGAAGGAAAAUGCUGUUGGAGAUGUCAAAUACUAUUUAGCUUUUGCUUUUCUCCGUUCUCCUCUGCUCGGUCCACACGAAAAAAGAAGAGAACUUUCUGUAGCUAUAGAAAACAAAAAUCAUUCUUUCCUCGAAUCUAUCGACAAUCCAUAAAGUACAAAACAGAGAAAAAUCAAUGCGAAUUCAUUGCGUUUCUAUACUUUUCUUUAAAAGUGUUGAAAAUAUUUCUGCGUUUACAUAUAUAGAAAUUAACAAGUUCAGUCCCCGUGUUUCUCUGAACUGAAUGACUGAAACCAAAGAAAAGAUAUCCCACAAACACACGGAUUUAGAAUUUCUCUGCUCCUUAACCAGGUGAAAAUUGUUUAUUAUAUUUUCUCUUACAAUAAGGUUGGUUUAAUUUUUUUAAUAUAAUUAAUUAUAAUUAUAAUUUAAAUUUCAAAAUUUAUAUUUUAG